GAUACCGAAGGACCUGUUCGAAGUAUUUACUGUAACUCCAACUGUAACUUGGUUCUGAGGAGGAGAGAAUCCAUGCUUGGUCAACAGAACUUUUCGCUGUCACUUAAGUUUACUGCUUCGAUAUCUUUUCCUUACUAAUUGAUUGUUAAUUAAGUAGUGCCCAAGUGGAUUAGCCUUUUUAGGGUUUAUUAAUUAAAAGAGAGCAGCAAGAAUGGCAUUU
Molecule: long non-coding RNA, 220 nt
Filed under: Pongo abelii (Sumatran orangutan)
Lineage: Eukaryota; Metazoa; Chordata; Mammalia; Primates; Hominidae
Description: lincRNA
Source: RNAcentral